This 944-nucleotide long non-coding RNA is filed under the name Zostera marina. RNAcentral describes it as "long non-coding RNA (ZMAR_LNC003740)". Lineage: Eukaryota; Viridiplantae; Streptophyta; Magnoliopsida; Alismatales; Zosteraceae. The record is from RNAcentral.
GCCUACCCACACCUUCAUCACAAGUACGUUUUUACACUCUAUAAUCACCAUACACAUAUCGCUGAUCAUUUUCAACACACUUAUUUGCUCUAUACUUCCGCAUCACAACUCAAUUGGAACUUCAUCAAACCUGCAAAUCGUCCGUUGGAUUAUCGAGCUAUCUUUCAAUCAAUCGAUCAUCAAGCAGUAUCAUUAUUGUUUAUAUACUUAAGUAUUACAUAUUCCAUUCAAUCAUUCAUAACAUUGCUUAAGUAUUAUACACAUAUAUAUAGGGCAAGCAUCAGGUGUGCCAUAUAUGUAUCAUUCGUUGUAGACCGUCGGAUGACUCAUCCUACGGUCAGCAGAAAUACCUCGAGAUCCUAGCCACCAUUGUACAUCAUUCAGUUGUUAAUGUAUGAUACCAUCAUAUCCAUUAAUUUACUCAUCAUACGUUCCACAAGAAACGACAGAUAAAUGGCACACCUGGAAAUGGCACACCUGAUACAAUUCCUAUAUAUAUAAUUGUUUAAUUAUAUAAACCAUUCCAAAACUCUAUCAAAAAGUAACGAACAACCCGACGAUCCUUGUGAUUGCGAUGGACCGGACGUUCCAAAUAGAUUCCCAGUUGAGAGAGAGGAGAAAAGAUUGCCACCUAAGGCGGAAUGAAGCAAAGUUGGAUGUAGAACCAAACCUGAAUGGUGAAGAAGACGCCGUCGUUUCCGUAGUCAUCGACGAAGAAACAGUACUAGUGUCACUACUCGCAAUGCCGAAGGAGAAAGACGACGUCAUCUCCGUCGAGCAGUUAGUUAUUCCGUUGCAGAUUUCUGAAAUUCAGAUCGAAGAGAUUUAUGGGUUUUAUACGGGUUUUAUAAACCGGAUCUAAACUAAAACCCGAAUAAAAUUCUUAUCUCUUAGUCCACUUUCCAGUUCCCUUCAGGCUUUUCCAUUUCUUGUUUAUCGACCGA